GAGGGAAAGCUGCAAUUUCACUCAUAGCUGACGUUGAUGGAACGCACGUUUGCGUCUCUGAAAGUUCGCAACUUGAAGGAAUAAAUGGAAAAGCCAGAUAAGUACCAAAAGCAUCUCUAUAAAGCAAUCCAAGAGCUGUUGGAGCAACAAGACUAGAGGGCCCAAGAUUCCAGAGGAGGAACUGCAAAAUGGUUCUCACAGGACUGAAGAGACAAAGCUGAAAUCUUGGAGAGCCAGGAUUUCAGGGAGAAGGGAAGAGUGAAUAACUGAGCGACACAGAUGGCUUCCCCACAAAAUUUUGCUGAAUUCUGAAGCUACUUGGGGUGGGAGGUUAGGAUGAGA
Long non-coding RNA from Balaenoptera ricei (Rice's whale), 342 nucleotides. RefSeq lists it as uncharacterized. NCBI's taxonomy places the organism in Eukaryota, Metazoa, Chordata, Mammalia, Artiodactyla, Balaenopteridae. The record is from RefSeq and is a predicted model, not a curated record. The transcript is spliced from 3 exons.